GAACACAGGAAGGACUCAGUCAAUGUCACUGGAAAAAUGAAUAAGAUGGUGUCAGGCAGGCUGAUGGGACCUGCCAGCUGAGGACCUAGCUUGUGAAGCUGAAACUGAGUUACUGUCUCCAAGGUCUAGAGGUUCAAGGUUCAAAACAAAAUUUCUUCUGCUAUGACUUUCCUUUCUGUUCCCCCACCCCUGUUUCUCCAGGUCGGCUGUAAGUAGAAGGAACAGUCGCUUCAAUUACCCCAGCCAUGAGAAGCUCAGACCAUGGGGACACUCCCUGAGAACACUGCUGAGAUGGGACAUGGGAAAUAACAACAAAAGAAGCAUCCGAGGGGGAAGGUUUGAUCAUGGAGAAACGCUUGGGCAGGCAGCAGCUUCCAGACUCGCUGAAAAACUUUUGGCUGAAUUGGACUGGGAUUCUUGAGGUCAAGCGAACUUUUUAAAAUAUGUUUGCUGCUACAGACAACCAGCUCCAUUGAAGUUGCUGUUGACAGAGACUAUUAAACCGCCUUACAGAAGCACG
RNAcentral lists this long non-coding RNA (520 nucleotides) under Rattus norvegicus (Norway rat). Its description in RNAcentral is "long non-coding RNA NONRATT034065". The record is from RNAcentral. Lineage: Eukaryota; Metazoa; Chordata; Mammalia; Rodentia; Muridae.